AGGGAGUCCCGAUAGCGGUAAGAGUUGCGGGAGAAUCUGACUGGGAAGAGCGAUGGUAACCAUGGCGAAAAUCAGUGUGGUCAGGAGUGGGAAAGCCAGGUACAGCAAGCUAGAUACCGAAGCAAACGGGUGCAAAUCUUUUCGGGUUAUGCACAAAUGGGAGUUGCAGGCGCUGCAGCCUUGAGUGAGACAAAGAGCGGCUAUCACUCCCACGGAGAAAACCCCAGAUCCUGCAGCACGAGGCACCUCGGAUUGAUGGUGCGGAUGGCAGCCUCAUGCAACAGCAGCAGCAGCAAGAUAUGCAAGCUUCAGAAGCAGAAGCCUUCUUUGUUCCAUUUCUAAGAGAAAAUUACUGUUGCUCCUUCUUAAUAGAAGCUUCUCAAUAGAAUUUAUUAUAAAC
This 400-nucleotide long non-coding RNA is filed under the name Physcomitrium patens. RNAcentral describes it as "long non-coding RNA (PPAT_LNC014913)". The record is from RNAcentral. Lineage: Eukaryota; Viridiplantae; Streptophyta; Bryopsida; Funariales; Funariaceae.